Molecule: non-coding RNA, 3332 nt
Organism: Anolis sagrei ordinatus
Lineage: Eukaryota; Metazoa; Chordata; Lepidosauria; Squamata; Anolidae
Source: RefSeq, a predicted model, not a curated record
GUGUUUGGGCAUCCCAACCAGAAUCCCUAGCCAGCUUGUUCAGUGGUCAAGAAUCCUGGGAGUUGACGUUCAAAACACCUGAAGAGCCACAGGUUGAAGAGGUCUGCUCUAUAUCCUCAUGCACAACAAGUUGACCAUAAUCAAAUCCAUGAAUAUAAAAACUGCAAAUGUGGAGGGAAAGCUGUAAGUUAUUUUUAAAAUGAUGGUUCUCUGGGUUUUGUUUUGUUUUGUUUUGUUUUUGCUCUUAAUGCAUACUAGACCUCUGCUGCUAACCUAAUUACUAAUUAAGCAUAAUUUCUUGAAAUGUAGAAUAGAUUGCCAGUAGCAUUGAAUGGAUCAGCUACUAUAAUGUGGAUGCGUGUGUACAGUUUUUCAUUAUUCACCAGCAACUUGUUCUCUUAAUAUAAUGCAAUGACCAAAUAUCAGUCGGAGGACAGGAGUUGGCGGCAAUGCUGGUAAGACUUUGGCAUGUUGCAUGGUGCCCACACUGAUAGAUAUUUUAUUUUUAAAAAAAGAGUGACUGUGAAGUGUUUUCUUAUGCUUCCUGCAGUGGAUUCACUAUUGAGUUGGCUUCGGCGUUCACAGUUGUGAUAGCUUCCAAUGUUGGACUUCCUGUCAGUACUACACACUGCAAGGUCGGCUCUGUGGUGGCAGUUGGCUGGAUACGCUCCAAGAAGGCUGUUGACUGGCAUCUCUUCCGCAAUAUCUUUCUAGCCUGGUUUGUGACAGUUCCUGUCGCUGGCUUAUUCAGCGCUGGCGUCAUGGCAAUUCUAAUGUAUGGUAUCCUGCCCUUUGUCUGAUUUCGUUGUUGUUUCCAGGAAAGAGGGGAGUCUUUCUUUGAAAUAGAAGAAGGCAAGAUCUCUCCUUCGAGAGUGCUGAGCUCCCUAUUCAAACCAUACGCUACAGUUAGUCAACAAGGAUGUAUUCUCAGUAUCUUUAACAUCUGCUGUACAUAUCAUCUGUGUCAUUGGUUGACAUAACACGUGGUGCCGUUUUCUUAUAUAUUAAAGAAAUAUAUAUAUAUGCUUCUAGUAGGUAAAACUACCUUAAAUUAUAAGUGAGGUGAAAAUAAUUGCCUAGAAUUUAAUCUUUAGUAAAAAUGUGUACAUAAUGUAUCAUUUGGUGGCAAUUUUUAAAAUAUUUUAGAAGAGCUGGGAUAUUUGUCACUUUGAUAUAUGAUAAAGCAAGGUGCAAAAUGGGUGCAGUUUUUAAACAAAUGCUGUUUAAUGAUACUGGAGCAAAACCGCGCAGAAGUACAUUGGUUAAAAAAUGUGGUUCAUAUCAUUGUUGUGUAUAAUACUGUAUGAAUAUUGGUUUUAUAAAUACUUUUUAAAAAGUAGCUUUUUAAUGGUGCAUUUCCCUGAUAUAUUUUGGAUAAGAAAGUUUAGAAAGUACCAAAGAAGGGGAAUAGCUUGUCAGUAUUACAUUAUAUGUCUCUCCGUGUAUGUAUGUGCUGUUUGUCUCCCCUCCAUGUAAGUUUCGAAUUGAAAUUAUUUUCUGCCAUCAGCCAUCAGCAAAGCUGGGAUGAUAUCACUCCUGUUAACUGUAACUAGCAAAGUGUCGUAACGUUACAGUCUAUAUAGCAAAUAUUAUCCACAUGAGAUUUAGUAAAAGUUCGGCUUUAUGUGUUAAACCCCGAAUUGUCUUCAAACAUCUAUUCGUCAUCCCUUGUAUGUUAAUCCAGUUCUGCUCCCAUUUAUCAGCAAGUUCAGGGGGCAAAAGACGAGGAUUGAGCCCAUUCUGUUUGCUUCUCCUUUUGCCUCCAGUAAGUCUUAACUAUGCAGUGCCAACUGGGGAAUGAUGAUACCACGCACAAUUGUAGUCAUAUAUGCCCAGCAUCUAAACAAGUGGGGAACAAAUUGGGCUCAUUUGAGGUGUUAUCUAAUGUCAAUCUCCCAUGUUAGACGUGGCUAUUAUAAUGGUUAUCAUGCAGAGGAUUGAAACAGUCUUUUUGUAACAAAGGAACAACUAUAAGAUCUAAUUCAGAUGUUAACCCUGAGCAGAGUAAGAUCUGCUGCAGCAUAACUCUUCCUGCCUCCCAAUAAUAUCAGAUCUCUGCAGCUCCCGUGGAAGAGUCUACACUGCAGCUUCUUAUGCCAGUGUUGCUCCACUGCAGUAGUGCCAUAGGAAAAAGCUGCACUGUGGAGUAUCUGGUGUCACUAGGAACUUGAAGUGCUUUCAAACGUAACGUAUUGCUAUUGAUAAUGCAGACAGGAGUCCAAAAAACCCUCUUUUUGAAAAGGUAUCCUAGUUUGCUAGUCCUAUGAACAACAUUUAAUAAUGACACUACUGAAGAGACCUAGAAGGGUCUCUGGCCCUACAACUGCAACAUGUUGCAAUUCCUUAGACAUGCCUUGGAUGAGGUCUUUUUCCAGUAAUACGAGGGGUAUUUUUUAAGUAAGGUCCGUUGGAACAUAAGUACACAACGAAAGUUUAUUUCAAAAAAGUAAAUUUAUUUUCAGAAAGUACAUACUUCACUCUAUUUUUCGACAUAGUUGCCAAGUUUGUUCAAACACUUAUCAUAUCUCUGAACCAAUUUUAAAAUACCCUCUUCAUAAAAAAUUGCCGCAUGCUCCGAUAACCAAAUCGUGUGUAAUCAAAGAAGGGCGACCGGACAGCGUGUUGUCACGGCCAUCUUUGAAUUGUCGUACCCACUUAAGCACUUUGCUUUCACUCAUAACAGUAUCACCGUACACCUCACAAAUCUGUCGAUGAAUUUCUGCAGCAGGCAGGCUCCUUGCUGACAAAAACCGUAUCACUGAGCGAACCUCACAUGCGGAGGGUGAGUUGAUAGUCUUAAACAUUUUUAAAGCACAGAACAGAACCGUACAGGUUAGCUACAGAGCGGAAACUGAGCACAGUUGUUCCCGAGGCAUGCCAGUACACGACCCACGUGCUCGUUUCGGUAUACGCGCGAACUACUAGUGUCUACAACAAAACGGACCUUACUUAAAAAAUACCCCUCGUAUAAUAGGAUAGUAUUGCCCAACAGACAGCUAGUGGAAUCCAGUUCCUUCAUUUGCCAUGGAGUCUUUCAGUUUCUUGAAUAUAUCUGGUUUUUCAUACAGCUUUCAUUGGUUUCCAUUGGGCUUAUGAAACAAAUCUUUCAAGAGGACUGUGCUCCAUGGCAUCUAAAGACAUACUGUUGCGAUAGUUUUCAUGUUGGGUUUACUGGAUCAGGUUUAAGGAAAGCGUGUUUGGAGGAGAAUGGGAACCUAGACUUUUGAAAUGCUGCUAAAAUUUUGAUACAUGAGCUUUCUUGGUACACCAUUGUGAUCCUUUUUCAUUGGUCAUUCAUUCUAAAUUUCUAAUAAAAUAAUGCCCGAAAACUG